RNAcentral lists this ribosomal RNA (330 nucleotides) under uncultured eukaryote. RNAcentral describes it as "partial 18S ribosomal RNA". It matches the Rfam family "Eukaryotic small subunit ribosomal RNA", at positions 1470 to 1796 of the family's 1831-position model. The record is from RNAcentral.
CCCUUAGAUGUUCUGGGCCACACGCGCGCUACACUGAGCCCUUCAUCGAGUUUACAACCUUGGCCGGUAGGUCUGGGUAAUCUUCUCAAAGGGGCUCGUGCUGGGGAUAGAUUAUUGUAAUUUUUAAUCUUCAACGAGGAAUUCCUAGUAAACGCAAGUCAACAGCUUGCAUUGAUUACGUCCCUGCCCUUUGUACACACCGCCCGUCGCUACUACCGAUUGAAUGGCUUAGUGAGCCCGAGGGACUGUUGCACCUAGAGGGUUUUCUCUCCAGGAGCAGCCGGGAACUCGGUCAAACUUGAUCAUUUAGAGGAAGUAAAAGUCGUAACA